RNAcentral lists this ribosomal RNA (492 nucleotides) under uncultured bacterium. RNAcentral describes it as "partial 16S ribosomal RNA". It matches the Rfam family "Bacterial small subunit ribosomal RNA", at positions 29 to 507 of the family's 1533-position model. The record is from RNAcentral.
AGUGAACGCUGGCGGUAGGCCUAACACAUGCAAGUCGAACGGCAGCACAGGAAGAGCUUGCUCUUACGGGUGGCGAGUGGCGGACGGGUGAGGAAUACAUCGGCAUCUACUUUUUCGUGGGGGAUAACGUAGGGAAACUUACGCUAAUACCGCAUACGACCUACGGGUGAAAGCAGGGGUUCUUCGGACCUUGCGCGAUUGAAUUAGCCGAUGUCGGAUUAGCUAGUUGGCGGGGUAAAGGCCCACCAAGGCGACGAUCCGUAGCUGGGCUGAGAGGAUGAUCCGCCACACUGGAACUGAGACACGGUCCAGACUCCUACGGGAGGCAGCAGUGGGGAAUAUUGGACAAUGGGCGCAAGCCUGAUCCAGCCAUACCGCGUGGGUGAAGAAGGCCUUCGGGUUGUAAAGCCCUUUUGUUGGGAAAGAAAAGCAGCAGGUUAAUACCCCGCUGUUCUGACGGUACCCAAAGAAUAAGCACCGGCUAACUUCGUG